RNAcentral lists this ribosomal RNA (629 nucleotides) under Salmonella enterica subsp. enterica serovar Enteritidis. RNAcentral describes it as "bacterial LSU rRNA". It matches the Rfam family "Bacterial large subunit ribosomal RNA", at positions 1 to 664 of the family's 2925-position model. The record is from RNAcentral. Lineage: Bacteria; Pseudomonadati; Pseudomonadota; Gammaproteobacteria; Enterobacterales; Enterobacteriaceae.
GGGUUGUGAGGUUAAGCGACUAAGCGUACACGGUGGAUGCCCUGGCAGUCAGAGGCGAUGAAGGGCGUGCUAAUCUGCGAUAAGCGCCGGUAAGGUGAUAUGAACCGUUAUAACCGGCGAUACCCGAAUGGGGAAACCCAGUGUGACUCGUCACACUAUCAUUAACUGAAUCCAUAGGUUAAUGAGGCGAACCGGGGGAACUGAAACAUCUAAGUACCCCGAGGAAAAGAAAUCAACCGAGAUUCCCCCAGUAGCGGCGAGCGAACGGGGAGGAGCCCAGAGCCUGAAUCAGCAUGUGUGUUAGUGGAAGCGUCUGGAAAGGCGCGCGAUACAGGGUGACAGCCCCGUACACAAAAGCGCAUGUGCUGUGAGCUCGAUGAGUAGGGCGGGACACGUGGUAUCCUGUCUGAAUAUGGGGGGACCAUCCUCCAAGGCUAAAUACUCCUGACUGACCGAUAGUGAACCAGUACCGUGAGGGAAAGGCGAAAAGAACCCCGGCGAGGGGAGUGAAAAAGAACCUGAAACCGUGUACGUACAAGCAGUGGGAGCACCCUUUGGGUGUGACUGCGUACCUUUUGUAUAAUGGGUCAGCGACUUAUAUUCUGUAGCAAGGUUAACCGAAUAGGGGA